GUAUUUGGCUUUGUCUGUGAACCUUCAAAAAAAAAAAGGGGGGCGGGGGGGGGGGGGGGAUCAAGUUCGGUUGGGGAAAACCAAUACCCGUUAUGAGAUGGGGAAAAAUUAUAAUAGGGGAAGGGGGACGGGGAAUUAAUAUCCACCUUGUUGGCCCCCAUUGCUGGGCCAUCAGAUAGAGAAAGGGUUGGACACUGAAACUAUUUUCUUAUUUUAUUUUAUUUAUAAUUUUAUGUCAAAAACUUUAUGCACUCUUUGUUACUUCUGAGAUUGUUUGUAAUAUAUCAAGACAAUUUAUGCAUUUUAUUGUUGAUGGCAAUAGUUAUAGUUGGUUCAAAUUAUAGCGAAAAUGAUACGCACCAAAUAGCCCCUUGCUGCUUCCAGUCUUAGUCGCAAGGAAACAUCGAGAAAUAAAGCCCGUUUCUUCUGGGUCAAAGUUGAUUCGAUAUUGGAUUUUUGGGAUAGUGCAAGAGAAUGCAAAGCAAAAUGAUGUUGUUCUUUAGUCUGAAACUCGAGAUGUGGAAAUCAUAUAAACAAUGGUCUUCAAAGUUCUGUGAUUGCUCUGCUGUGGAUGUUACUACUUUAGUAUGUGAUUGCCUACUUGAUUAUAAUUGUAUUUUAUAUAAUUAAAUGUGAACAUCAAUCCGUCUUCUGAAGCUCAUGUCAUGCCCUCUAGAGGAUAUACAUGAUUUUUGUCUGUCUCAAUUUUCUUAAAUUCUGUUAUUAUAGUGAAAAAGAUGCAGUUAUUGUCUAUGGGUUAUGGUAGUGUGUAUAUGUGGUGGGCAUCAUGCCAUUUAUUUGUUUUAUUGCUUGUUUUUCUUAGGUAAUGUUUGGAUCAGGGAUUUGAUGAGGGAAAGGAAAUGGGAAGGGAAAAGUGAAUGAAAUAUAAGUUAAAUUUUGUUCUCCUUUUUGUUCCUUUUUCUUUUCCUUUCGAAAUUACUUCUCAAAUUCUUGAUCCAAGCACAGCUUUAGUGAUAUUAAUAAACUGUUAGCCUGUGAUAUGUUUUGGCAAGAUAGGGGUAUUUUGUUCACUACUGCCUACAAAAUGACUGGUAUCGUUGAUGUUUUGAUGAGGUGCUAUUUAGUAUCCUCUAUAAUGAUUCUAGAAUAAGAGGAAAACUAUUUACAAGUGUAUGGAACUCACCCUUACAUUGUUAGACAUUCCAUUUUUUAUUUUAAACCAUAUGCAUUUAUACUUUUCUUGUAUUUAUAGUUUUCUGUUAAUCUGACUCUUAUUUUGGAUUUUCCAGUUGGUGGAAACCUUUUAGGUAGUGUUUGGUUUGUUGGAAUAAAAUGGAAUGGAACAUCAAAAUGUCCAUUCCCAUGUUAGGUUGGCUAAAAAAAUAAUGAAAAAUACAACACAAAUGGAAUCAUCAUUCACCCAUGGUAAGGGAACGAUCAUUCCAUCGGGAAGUCUAAUUAAUGACCAUUCCAUUCCAUUUCAUCUCAUUCUAGUGAGCCAAGUAGAGCAUUAGAGUUGCAGUAGCAUCAGCAUGAGUGCAUAACUAGAUUGGUUUAAUACUAUCAUUCUAAAGGGUUGCACCACUGGGCAUAUCUAGUCAUAGAGGAUAAAGCCAAGUUAAGCUGCAACAAUAUUACUGUGGGCUUAUAUGCUUCCAAGUUUUUGAAUUUGCAAAAAAGAAACUUCUAAGUUUUUGCUUGAACUUUGCUCUCUCUCUCUCUCUCUCUCUCUUCUUUUUUUUUUUUUAAAUUUUUUUUUUUAAAAUUAAAUUAAAUAUCCAGGUUUUUUAAUUUAUUUUGACAAAGUUGUUUUUCUCUAUGAAGGCCUUAGUGCGGAAAUGAUAUUUUUCUUCAAUUUCUGGUUUCUCUAUGCCAUUAUAGAUUUCCAAUGAAAAGCAAAGCAAAGUGAUGAAUGCUUCUGACCUGAAUUCCAAUGUGGAAUAAUUGCAUUAGUGGUCUUCAAAGUUCUCUGAUUUCUUUCCUGUAUGUUACCAUUAAGUGAGCGAGUAUUUAAGCACGAUAGGUCAACAACAAAGAUGCGACAUCUUAACAUACGUGAUUAUUAUGUAUAGGAUAUGUUAUGGUAAUUUAUAUGCAGUGGUGGGUGGUUUGCACAUUUUUAUUGUGUUUAAUUAUUUUGUUGGUUCCUAACAUUUUUUGAGAGGUACCUAAUUUGCUACAAGGCUGAUUGGUGCUUAGCGGUUUGGUUCAUUGAUAUUUGUCAUGCUAGUUCGGUAGAAUCCUUGACAAGGAGUUCUCUACUCCUACAUGAUUCAAAGUACAACAUUUAAGCUACUAAGAUGGGAUCUUAUUGAUCUUCACCUAGCUGAAAUGAAAGAUUAGUGAUUUUGAGCACCUAAAUACAUGGUCUGUUGUGAAUAUACUUGUUACAGGCUAUACGAGCAUGGUGCGAAAGUAAUAAUUUUUCUUCACUCAAUUGUCACUUGGCUCUUCUAUGCCAAAUGACAUACUAGAACUGAGGAAAGAACAUUCCUUAAAUAUGAUCCUAAUUCGUAUGCUAGAGUCAUCCUAUCAUUGUUAUACCUGACCCAAACUCAACUUGCAUAUACAAUAUCUGAAAUUGCUAUUAGGCUUGUUCAUGAAUCAUUGUGACUGUUUGGUGAGACUAAUGGUGUGAUUAUACCUACAGAUAUAAAAAAAGAUUUCGGUAAAUAUAUAUGUUUUGUUUUUAUAUAUUGGGCCCAAAAAGGAUCUUCGAUGUAUAGGGAUGGUAAUUUGCAUCGAAAUGAUGUGGACUUGCUAUGAUCGCUCCUGGUGGGACAAAGAUGGGAGGUCUGAAGGUGGGGUGGGGGUGAUAGGAAUGGCAGUUAGGCAAGUUCAAUAUGGGAUACUUCUCUCUUGUAACAUCAGCAAAUCCUAUUCCAUCCCUGAACCGACUGGGCAGCAUCAGAUUGCCAAUGGGUUAUAAUUAUUUAAGAAAAUUUUGAACUGGUUUAUAGUUAUCGUAAGGAAAUAUUUUUAAAUUACACAAUACAAUUUAUAUAUAUUAUGCCAUGUAAAAAUCCACAAAGGACUUCAUAUUGGUGCAGGCUUGGGGCAGCAGGAUGAGGAUUGCUUUUAUAUAAAUUGGAAUGCCUUUUGCUCUUAUUGUUUUCUAAGUUCUUUUAAA
This is a long non-coding RNA of Camellia sinensis, 3091 nucleotides long. RefSeq lists it as uncharacterized. Lineage: Eukaryota; Viridiplantae; Streptophyta; Magnoliopsida; Ericales; Theaceae. The record is from RefSeq and is a predicted model, not a curated record.